RNAcentral lists this ribosomal RNA (1003 nucleotides) under Pseudomonas aeruginosa. RNAcentral's name for it is "partial 23S ribosomal RNA". It matches the Rfam family "Bacterial large subunit ribosomal RNA", at positions 1239 to 2226 of the family's 2925-position model. The record is from RNAcentral. Lineage: Bacteria; Pseudomonadati; Pseudomonadota; Gammaproteobacteria; Pseudomonadales; Pseudomonadaceae.
UUCUGUAAGCCUGUGAAGGUGAGUUGAGAAGCUUGCUGGAGGUAUCAGAAGUGCGAAUGCUGACAUGAGUAACGACAAUGGGUGUGAAAAACACCCACGCCGAAAGACCAAGGGUUCCUGCGCAACGUUAAUCGACGCAGGGUUAGUCGGUUCCUAAGGCGAGGCUGAAAAGCGUAGUCGAUGGGAAACAGGUUAAUAUUCCUGUACUUCUGGUUACUGCGAUGGAGGGACGGAGAAGGCUAGGCCAGCUUGGCGUUGGUUGUCCAAGUUUAAGGUGGUAGGCUGAAAUCUUAGGUAAAUCCGGGGUUUCAAGGCCGAGAGCUGAUGACGAGUCGUCUUUUAGAUGACGAAGUGGUUGAUGCCAUGCUUCCAAGAAAAGCUUCUAAGCUUCAGGUAACCAGGAACCGUACCCCAAACCGACACAGGUGGUCGGGUAGAGAAUACCAAGGCGCUUGAGAGAACUCGGGUGAAGGAACUAGGCAAAAUGGCACCGUAACUUCGGGAGAAGGUGCGCCGGCUAGGGUGAAGGAUUUACUCCGUAAGCUCUGGCUGGUCGAAGAUACCAGGCCGCUGCGACUGUUUAUUAAAAACACAGCACUCUGCAAACACGAAAGUGGACGUAUAGGGUGUGACGCCUGCCCGGUGCCGGAAGGUUAAUUGAUGGGGUUAGCGCAAGCGAAGCUCUUGAUCGAAGCCCCGGUAAACGGCGGCCGUAACUAUAACGGUCCUAAGGUAGCGAAAUUCCUUGUCGGGUAAGUUCCGACCUGCACGAAUGGCGUAACGAUGGCGGCGCUGUCUCCACCCGAGACUCAGUGAAAUUGAAAUCGCUGUGAAGAUGCAGUGUAUCCGCGGCUAGACGGAAAGACCCCGUGAACCUUUACUGUAGCUUUGCACUGGACUUUGAGCCUGCUUGUGUAGGAUAGGUGGGAGGCUUUGAAGCGUGGACGCCAGUUCGCGUGGAGCCAUCCUUGAAAUACCACCCUGGCAUGCUUGAGGUUCUAAC